This is a transfer RNA of Lepisosteus oculatus (spotted gar), 73 nucleotides long. It matches the Rfam family "tRNA". Rfam says of the family: Transfer RNA (tRNA) molecules are approximately 80 nucleotides in length. Their secondary structure includes four short double-helical elements and three loops (D, anti-codon, and T loops). The record is from Rfam. Lineage: Eukaryota; Metazoa; Chordata; Actinopteri; Semionotiformes; Lepisosteidae.
GGGGGAUUAGCUCAAAUGGUAGAGCGCUCGCUUCGCAUGCGAGAGGUAGCGGGAUCGAUGUCCGCAUCCUCCA